RNAcentral lists this ribosomal RNA (465 nucleotides) under Vreelandella stevensii. Its description in RNAcentral is "partial 16S ribosomal RNA". It matches the Rfam family "Bacterial small subunit ribosomal RNA", at positions 338 to 795 of the family's 1533-position model. Lineage: Bacteria; Pseudomonadati; Pseudomonadota; Gammaproteobacteria; Oceanospirillales; Halomonadaceae. The record is from RNAcentral.
CCUACGGGUGGCAGCAGUGGGGAAUAUUGGACAAUGGGCGAAAGCCUGAUCCAGCCAUGCCGCGUGUGUGAAGAAGGCCUUCGGGUUGUAAAGCACUUUCAGUGGGGAAGAAAGCCUUGGGGCUAAUACCCUCGAGGAAGGACAUCACCCACAGAAGAAGCACCGGCUAACUCCGUGCCAGCAGCCGCGGUAAUACGGAGGGUGCGAGCGUUAAUCGGAAUUACUGGGCGUAAAGCGCGCGUAGGCGGUCUGAUAAGCCGGUUGUGAAAGCCCCGGGCUCAACCUGGGAACGGCAUCCGGAACUGUCAGGCUAGAGUGCAGGAGAGGAAGGUAGAAUUCCCGGUGUAGCGGUGAAACGCGUAGAGAUCGGGAGGAAUACCAGUGGCGAAGGCGGCCUUCUGGACUGACACUGACGCUGAGGUGCGAAAGCGUGGGUAGCAAACAGGAUUAGAUACCCCAGUAGUC